UAUUUCUACUGAUUUUUAAAAAUUUCUUCUAUUAUAUAUAUUUUUUCUGCUAGUUCUUUUAGAAAUAGUACAUAGUCCUUGUUUUCAGGGAUACGAUAUUUUCUGUAUUGAAAAAUGUUUAAUCACAGAUUUUUUUUCCACAAAAUCUUCUGCUUCCUGCACUGUCUCUAGUUCUCUUUCAUGAUGUUUGUUUUGGUCUCUGUAUUUCAUGAUGAAGGCUUUUCUCUAGUUCUCCUUGGUCCUCCCUACAUAUUUAAGUGUAAAAUACAGAAAAGGAUUACCAGAGGUGUCAGAUAAGAGGGGGAGUCAGAGUAGAAACAAUAUUCUUUACAAGUUGCAGUUCAAAUAUCUUUAUUUUUGCAAAACUUACAAAAACAUUAUGUCCCAUUGUUGAUUUAUAGCUCUAUAAUUAUUUACAGUUAUUUAGUGAGAUUUUGGUGGCAGAGGAAAUAAAUAUGGUAAUCUUUUUUUUUUUUUUUUUUUUUUUGAGACGGAGUCUCGCUAUGUCGCCCAGGCUGGAGUGCAGUGGCCGGAUCUUAGUUCACUGCAAGCUCCGCCACCCGGGUUUACGCCAUUCUCCUGCCUCAGCCUCCCGAGUAGCUGGGACUACAGGUGCCCGCCACCUCGCCCGGCUAGUUUUUUGUAUUUUUUAGUAGAGACGGGGUUUCACCGGGUUAGCCAGGAUGGUCUCGAUCUGCUGACCUCGUGAUCCGCCCGUCUCGGCCUCCCAAUAUGGUAAUCAUUUUGUACACCCCUCCUGAAUAAUAAUUUGGCUGGGAAUCAAAUUUUUUUUUUUUUUUUUUAGAGAGACAUGGUCUCACUCUGUUGCCUGGGCUGCAGUGCAGUGGCACAAUCCUCCCACCUCAGCCUCCUGAGUAGCUGGGAUGACAGGCUCACACCACCACGCCUAAUUCUUUUUUUUUUUUUUUUUGUAGAGAUGAGGUCUCACUAUGUUGCCCAGCCUGGCUUGAACUCCUGGACUCAAGCAAUCCUCUCACUUCAGGCUCCAAAAGUGCUAGGAUUACAGGUUCCUAUGGAGCUGGUCCGGAGCAUCCAGAUGACACUGGCACAUGAAGUAAGUUGUAUGAGAAGAAUAUGAACAUGAGAAAUCCAUCACUUUAAUAGCAAGCAGCGAACAGACCUCCUCUUUGUCCAGAGAGAGGCAUUACCCCAUCCCUCAAGGUUGCCUGCUGCGAACAGCCCUGAGAAAAGGCUCAGAUAAAGCAUGAUCACGGCUUGGCAUUUGUGGAAAUCAGAGUGACGGGCAGUGGCCUGAGAGACCCAGGAGGGCUAUCUUUCCUCAACAGGGAGGAAGUUGAGAUGGCAAGAAAUGCACUUUUAAAUGUAAAACUGAAGAGGCUGUGGGAGCAGGAUGGUCACUCAGUACUGGUGGAGGCCUCAGGUGCAGCUUUUGAGGCAAUGUGGCAGUGACUCCAACUGAUCUACCAGUCUUGACCUUUACCUGACAAUGUCUAAUCAUUGAGGGAGGGAGGGAGAGAGACGGGAGGGAGAAGAUAUAAGAACAAUCAGGAAGAGCAGAAAGGAAAUAAAGUGAACCUGAGGUAUUUGCGAAGGAGGCAGAAUGAUGUUUAGGGAGACACAAGAUUAUGGGAAGAGUGGCUAGGGUUUGCUUCUUGGAUGUGAAUUAUUUGGCAAAAAGUUCUGCCAGGGCACGGGAGAAAGUCAGGAGAGAGAUGAGCAGCAGCGGAGCUGAGGAUACCAGUUGCCAAGGAAAGUAUCUGUGCAGGUCCCCAUGACAGGGCAAAGACUUCCGUAAUCAUAUGCGCCAAAGGCUGAGGUAGAAAAGGCCUGGGAACAUGGUCCAUGUGCCAGCCCACAAUAGGUCACACACAGAAGCAAAGAGGGGUAGGGGCUGGAGGGAGCUGGGG
Papio anubis (olive baboon) is the source of this 1889-nucleotide long non-coding RNA. Lineage: Eukaryota; Metazoa; Chordata; Mammalia; Primates; Cercopithecidae. The record is from Ensembl.